RNAcentral lists this long non-coding RNA (5359 nucleotides) under Brassica napus (rape). Its description in RNAcentral is "long non-coding RNA (BNAP_LNC002569)". Lineage: Eukaryota; Viridiplantae; Streptophyta; Magnoliopsida; Brassicales; Brassicaceae. The record is from RNAcentral.
UGUGCCUUGUCUCGACGGUGGCGCUGGUGAACGCCGGCGAUCCUUACUUCUACUACACGUGGAACGUGACGUACGGAACCGCCUCGCCUCUCGGAAUCCCUCAACAGGUGAUUCUCAUCAACGGACAGUUCCCUGGUCCUAACCUAAACUCUACAUCUAACAACAAUGUCGUCAUCAAUGUCUUUAACAACCUUGACGAGCCUUUCCUCUUGACCUGGUUAGUAACCAUUUCCUCUCGUUUCUUGUUUACUAAUUACGCGUUUUUGCAUGAGCAUAUUGUUUUGAAGAUCAAAUAAUAUUUUGAACGAUACAAAACAUUUUUUUUUCAUUUUAAUACACUUUCUUACAAAGGUCAUACGCCAAAUGCAAAAAUAACUUCUCAAAUCGUUUGAUGUUUUCAUUUUACAAUUUACAAAUCAAUAUUUUUUCCACAUAUUUAAGAUUGGACAUUCAUUUGAAAAUAGAAAAUAUGUCUUGGUUAAGUUAUGUUAUUUUGUUUCUUGGUUUUUAGUUUGAAAAAUUCAUAACUAAAUUUAAAUCAAAAUCUUUUUGGAUCAUUCAAUUAAUUGGUUUAAGAAAAGUUUGUUUAAUUUCCGUUCAGAUAGUAGUUUCUUUAACAACAAGUGUUAUAUUAAUUUCACAUAAUGAUAUCUAUAUAUAAUAUGUAUACAAAUAAAAUGUAAUAUUUUAGUUUGGUUUAGUUUAGUUUUGAUUUUAGAUUUGUUUUGCAUUAGGUUUGGUUAUAUGGCUACAACUAUACAUGUCUAGUUUUCAUUGUAACUUUGGAUAUUGAGUCCUGACUAACUAUGGGUUCGGUGACAUGGCAGGAGUGGUCUCCAGCACAGGAAGAACUCAUGGCAAGAUGGUGUGACUGGGACCUCAUGCCCAAUCCCAGCAGGCACCAACUACACUUACCACUUCCAGCCAAAGGACCAGAUCGGUAGUUACUUCUACUACCCAUCCACCGCUCUCCACCGUUUCUCCGGUGGUUUCGGUGGCCUCCGUGUCAACAGCCGUCUCCUCAUCCCCGUCCCUUACGCUGACCCCGAAGACGACUACACCGUCCUCAUCAACGACUGGUACACCAAGAGCCACACCGCUCUCAAGACCUUCCUCGACAGUGGCCGUACUCUUGGCUCCCCUGACGGCGUUCUCAUCAACGGUAAGUCCGGCAAAGUCGGAGGACAGGACAAGCCACUCUUCACCAUGAAGCCAGGAAAGACAUACAAGUACAGAAUCUGUAACGUUGGAUUCAAGUCCACUCUUAACUUCAGGAUCCAAGGACACAAGAUGAAGCUUGUUGAGAUGGAAGGCUCCCACGUUCUCCAAAACGACUACGACUCACUAGACGUCCACGUCGGACAGUGCUUUGCUGUUCUUGUCACCGCUGACCAAGCGGCUAAGAACUACUACAUGGUUGCAUCCACUAGGUUCCUCAAGAAGGAAGUGAGCACUGUUGGUGUGAUGAGCUACGACAACGGAGUUUCGGGCUCUGUGUGGGAGACUCCGUUCAAUGCGUACCUAAGCUUACCAUCGAUUUUUCCCUGAGUGUUCACGAGCUUGAUUGUGCGUGUGAUGUUGAUCUUUCCAUAGUGGUAGGAUCCCUGAGGGUUAGGCCUAGCUGCACUUGCGGUCAAGUUCCACCUGAAUGAUCGGAACUGGUUCAACGACCAAGCCCAUCCAACAGGACCAGCUGGAAGCUGUGAAGAGGCGGGUCCUUUGCCUCCUUCGUAGCGGAGAAGUCCCGUUGUUGUAAUAACCUUCUUCAAGAACCUAGUGGAUGCAACCAUGUAGUAAUCUUUAGGUUCUUGAUUAGCGGCAACGAUGGUACCAUAGCACUGACCAACGUGAACGUCCAAAGAGUCGUAAUCGUUUUGAAGAACGUGAGAUCCUUCCAUUUCAACGAGCUUCAUUUUGUGAUUCUGAAUCCUAAAGUUGAGGGAUGUCUUGAUACCCACGUUACAGAUCCUAACCCUGUAAGUCUUUCCAGGUUUCAAGGUGAAGAGAGGUGCAUCGGAUCCAUCGCCUUUCCCGGACUUUCCGUUGAUGACAAUACCGUCUGGACGACCAAUAGUACGACCACCGUCGAGGAAUUUCUUUAACUGAGUGUGGCUCUUAGUGAACCAGUCACCGAUGAGGACGGUGUAGUCAUCUUCUGGAUCAGCAUAAGGGACUGGGAUGAGGAGACGGCUGUUGACACGGAGACCACCGUAUCCACCAGCAGCACGGUGCAUACCAGUGGUCGGGUAAUAGAAAUAGCUUCCGAUCUGAUCCUUAGGCUGGAAAUGGUAUGUGUAGUUGGUGCCGGGCAUGAUUGGACACAUGGUCCCUUGUGUCCCAUCUUGCCAACAGUUCUUCCUGUGUUGGAUACCAUUCCUAAAAUAGGCAAGAUACAUAUUAUUAAAAAAUCAGUGUUCUAAAAAUCGGUUUAGCGCCAUAUAACAAAACAAUAAAUUUUCUAAGGAUCAGAUCAGUUUAAAAAAUCGGUUUAAAUGUCCGGCACUAAUUCUGUAUAGAACAUUUAAUGAUCGUCUAUUGAUUUUCUUAACAUUGAUUAAAACACAUGCAUAUAAAUCGAGAAAUGCUGUUUGUAGAUAUUAUUUUGGUUAAAUUAAUGAUUAUUACCAAGUGAGGAGGAAGGGUUCGUCUAGGUUAUUGAAGACAUUGAUGAUGACAUUGUUGUUGGAGGUAGAGUUGAUGUUAGGACCAGGGAACUGGCCGUUGAUUAGAAUGACUUGUUGUGGAACGCCUAGAGGAGAGGCGGUUCCAUAGGUCACGUUCCAUACAUGGUGGAAGUAAGGGUCUUCUGCUUGGACCACCACCGUUGCAGCUGCGGCCAGGUAGAGACACGCGGCUAAGAGUUUAACCCCUCGCAUAUACAAUUUUUAUGUUUUUUCGUGGAGGGUAUUAAUUGAUUAUUGUUAUUGGAUUAUGUUUUGAGGUUUGAAUUUCGAGUUGUGGAAAUGUUUGAGAGCAUUUUUAUAGGGAUUGUAAGACGAAUGUUUUCUCCUGCUUUUUCUGGUCUUGUUUGGGUCUCCUCUCAUUUCGCUAUUUUUUUGUCCAUAUUUGGGAUAUUGAAGGUCAACCACUCCCUAUUUUUGGUGUUUAAUUUUUUUUUCUAUGUUUGGCUUUGGUUUCCAUGUCUUUGAAACUUUUUUCUGUUUUGGAUAUUUUUGAAAAAUUAUGAGAGAGCCAAACUUUAGUCAUAUGAUGAAACUUAAAAGUUAUAGAGAUAUACAAGUCAUUCUAAUCAACAGCCAAUUCCCUGUUCCAAGACCUCCAAUAACAGUAUCAUAGUUGUAUAAAACAAAAAGCAAUUAGCUAGAGAUAUCUUAUAUUACAUGCAAGUUGAUGAGUAGUCUGAAUAAAAGUUGACACAUACUAAAAUGAUAAAUAGAAACAAGUAUACACUUGAAAUUUCAAUUGAGGACAAUAAUAGCUAAAGAGGAAAUAACAGGAUCUAGACUAGCAGAUCCGUAGAGAUCUCUAGUUAGAUUGACCACGUUCACCAUAACUUGCAUGACCACGGUUUUAUAGACCACUCUAGGAUCAGUAGAGAUCUUUAUUUAGUUUUUUUUUUUUAUGUUGCACCAUCAUCAGUUCAUAUACUGAUCAUUUUACUCUCACAAAAGAUAACGGCUGAUCCAAGCCAGGAAGUGAAUGGGCAGCAUCCAAGUGGACUGUAAAUCCCGUCAAAUUCAUAUCUGAUACUAUUCAGAGGGUGCAAUGUGUAAAAAGAAUAAGCACUUAAAACCAACAUAAAUUCAGCGAUAAAUUACAUAUAUCACUUUGUAUAUAUCUAUUUUCAUCUAAACUUAGCGCAUAUAGCUCGUGUUGGAGUUAUUGACAUUUCUCAUAUAAACAAUUUUCUACUUAUGAAUCAUGUAUAAGUGGUCUCUAGUAAUCCAAAAUGUUGGGUUUGACAUUUAGACCGACUCACAUCUCAAGAGGGCUUAUUAAGUGUGACAUUUUUUUGGAAAAAAAAGAUUUGGAUAAUAUAUAUAUAUAUAUAAAUAAGUAAUGUGACAAAUCUUUUAUUUUUGAGUUAGAUUUUGAUGUGAUAAUCCGAAAUGAUGGGUUUUUACAUGUUUCCAUUAGACAGUUUCAACUCGCAUCUCAAGACUCAAGAGGGCCUAUUAAUGUCUUACAUUGUUUGGAUAAAGAAGAUUUGGAUAAAGUAAUGUGACAAUCUUUUAUUUUUGAGUUAGAUUUUGGAUGUGAAUUAGACCAAUUAUUAGUAGGAAUGAAGAGACAUGUCUAUGUGUUACACCAAAAAAAAAGAUAAGAAAAAGAAGAAACAUGUCUCUACGCAAUGUUCCUAGAAUACUAGCUUUUGUUUUUUGAAAUAUAUGUAUCAAGAAUAAAAAUGCGAGUCCUUAAUCUUAAACUUACAAACUGUAGUAACUUAUGUAGUUUUGUUAGGAGACCAAAACAUUUUUCCGUGUGUAUACAGUAGCUAAAGCAUGUUAAAACAAACAAAUAACUUCAUGACACACUUUGUGAGUUAGUUAAUUUAGCAUCGUUUGAGAAUAUUUCCAUUAUUAGAAUAUGACCCGAGUUGUGUGUUUGUUCAAAACGUUGAAACCCAUGAGAACCAAAGAAAGUGAUUCAAAAAUAGAACUUACACAUAUAGUAAAAAUAACAAAAAAGGAACAAAGAAUUAGAGAUGAAGCGUAAGAUUAGGCAGCGAUUCCGUGCAAACCAAGGUACUUUCACCUGCAUAAAUAGUUAAUCACGACACCAUCCAAAAAAACUCGUCAAGAGCAAGAGAACAUAGUCUCUUCUUGCUUUUGAGAAAAAAAUAAUUUUUAUGUAGGAAAGGGUUAAUUUAUCAAUAAAAAUAUAUAAAAAGAAGUAGAAAAGAGAUAAUGCAGGGUGGUAAGCUUUUGACGGUGUUUGUGUGCCUUGUCUCGACGGUGGCGCUGGUGAACGCCGGCGAUCCUUACUUCUACUACACGUGGAACGUGACGUACGGAACCGCCUCGCCUCUCGGAAUCCCUCAACAGGUGAUUCUCAUCAACGGACAGUUCCCUGGUCCUAACCUAAACUCUACAUCUAACAACAAUGUCGUCAUCAAUGUCUUUAACAACCUUGACGAGCCUUUCCUCUUGACCUGGUUAGUAACCAUUUCCUCUCGUUUCUUGUUUACUAAUUACGCGUUUUUGCAUGAGCAUAUUGUUUUGAAGAUCAAAUAAUAUUUUGAACGAUACAAAACAUUUUUUUUUCAUUUUAAUACACUUUCUUACAAAGGUCAUACGCCAAAUGCAAAAAUAACUUCUCAAAUCGUUUGAUGUUUUCAUUUUACAAUUUACAAAUCAAUAUUUUUUCCACAUAUUUAAGAUUGGACAUUCAUUUGAAA